CUAAGUAGAAAGAUGGAGUUGGGAAGCUUCAGCCUUUAGCCAAACAAACACACGGUGAUUCCUUGUUUAAAAUUCCCGUAGGUGAAGCUUUCCUAUGGAUCAGAGCGGUCAAGCGAACAUGGAUCCCGACCAAAUGUCAACCAGCAGUUUUCGUUGAGAAAAUUGUGGUAAAAAUUCGCCACUUACCGGAGAUCAGCUGAGCUUGUGCCGUCCAUAGCUGCCGUCGACUUCCAUCAGACACUGGCCUCAAAAACACCUGUGGAUACACCCUUCCGACUAUCAGGAAGAAGAUAUGUGGAUGGGUGUGUCCCUCUGCAGCAUCCCUGCACUCCCUCCCUCACACACACGCACGCACACACACAGAGAGAGGAGAGAAGGAAUGAAAUGAUCUUUGCUGUAUUGAAUUCAAGAGUGGGAAUAAAUGCAGCUAUCAAUUAUUUGAGUAAUUUGAUAAAAUAUACUUCGUAGCCUUGGUGCAUAUUUUAAAUAAAUAUAAUUUUUUCUUCUUGC
Molecule: long non-coding RNA, 510 nt
Organism: Nerophis ophidion (straightnose pipefish)
Lineage: Eukaryota; Metazoa; Chordata; Actinopteri; Syngnathiformes; Syngnathidae
Exons: 2
Source: RefSeq, a predicted model, not a curated record